GCGGGUGUGGUGGAAAUUGGCAGACACGCUAGACUUAGGAUCUAGUGUCUUCGGACGUAAGGGUUCAAGUCCCUUCACCCGCACCA
Molecule: transfer RNA, 86 nt
Filed under: Hepatoplasma crinochetorum (SeqCode)
Lineage: Bacteria; Bacillati; Mycoplasmatota; Mollicutes; Mycoplasmatales; Hepatoplasmataceae (SeqCode)
Description: Candidatus Hepatoplasma crinochetorum tRNA-Leu
Rfam family: tRNA
About the family: Transfer RNA (tRNA) molecules are approximately 80 nucleotides in length. Their secondary structure includes four short double-helical elements and three loops (D, anti-codon, and T loops). Further hydrogen bonds mediate the characteristic L-shaped molecular structure. tRNAs have two regions of fundamental functional importance: the anti-codon, which is responsible for specific mRNA codon recognition, and the 3' end, to which the tRNAs corresponding amino acid is attached (by aminoacyl-tRNA synthetases). tRNAs cope with the degeneracy of the genetic code in two manners: having more than one tRNA (with a specific anti-codon) for a particular amino acid; and 'wobble' base-pairing, i.e. permitting non-standard base-pairing at the 3rd anti-codon position.
Source: RNAcentral